This 2171-nucleotide long non-coding RNA is filed under the name Homo sapiens (human). Its description in RNAcentral is "long independently transcribed non-coding RNA 973, transcript variant 2 (LINC00973)". The record is from RNAcentral. Lineage: Eukaryota; Metazoa; Chordata; Mammalia; Primates; Hominidae.
GACAGACGGAUCUAGCCUCCCAGCCUACAUCUUUCUCCUGUGCUGGAUGCUUCCUACCCUUGAACAUCAGACUCCAAGUUCUUCAGUUUUGGGACUCGGACUGGCUCUCCUUGCUCUUCAGCUUGCAGACAGCCUAUUGUGGGACCUUGUGAUUGUAUGAAGAAAUAAGAAUGGAAGCAUAAUCAUUUGUCCGAGGUCACAGAGGGAGAUGAUUACACAGCUGGAAUGUAAGCCUCAGUACUUUACUGAAUCCUUGGCUUUGUCCAUGGGCCCAGCUACAGGCAUAAAGCUUUUCUCUUCCCCAGCAGUGACUUCGAGUACCAGCUUUCAAAUUUAUUUGACAUUGAAUCUAAGCUUUGUGACCAGUAUGUAGAAGGAGAAGAAGGGGAGGAAUUACUUAUCCUUUGGCAUACAUUAGCAUGCAAAUAAAUCCUUUCUCUGCAUUGUGGAAGGGUCUGAAAUUAUCACAUAUACAAUGUAUCUUUUAUCAAUGGCCUUGCAUACAAAUUUUACUUUGAAGAAUCCAGAUUUAGAGGUCUUCUCCAAACAUUUGCAUUGUUUCUUUUUCUUAGGAUCAGAACUUCUACCUAUUGUCAUUUUAAGAAAAAAGAUCAUGAAUUAAUUAAUUUAUUCAUUAUUUACACCCUUAUAUUCUUUCCCAAAUGUUUUAAUGUGGCUUACAUUGUAUACAUGUACACAAUAAAUAUUUAUAUUUAAAUAAGUUAUAAUCACAGAAUGAGAAUAUUAUUACAACCACUCAUACUCAUUCAAAUAGCUUGAUUAUAUCAUUGAGCUUUUCUUUUAGUUCUGGGUUUUUUGCUGCCUAGUUUAAAUCAGAAUGGCAUCUGAUUUAAUUAAUGGAAACUGAGUUUAUUUGAUUGAUGGAAACAAGAUGAUUUCAAGUGUGAUGCACUUUUUCUGUACUAACGUUUGAGAUACAUUUAUUACAACUGGCCACUUCAUAAUGGGCCAUAAGCAUUGUUUAAAGACAAUGGCUACUAUUGUUUGAAAGCUAAGGAAAGAUCCAAUGCUACCAGAUGUAUAUUGGCUGAGAAAUGAUCAGCUGAAACUACAGGCUGAAAUGCUGUAUAAGGUAGGCAAUAAAAUUAGAGAAUGUUUGCCGAACCCACUAAGCAGCAAAGAGGACCCAGCUUAGAAGUAAUGUAAAUUUUAAAGCUCUUUACCAGUGGCAAGCUAAUUUGAAAUAUUAGAAGUUAUUAUUUGUUUUAUGUUUCUCUCUCUAGCAGUAUAGUUUUUAACCGGCUUGUAAGAGCUCUUUUGUUAGUAAUGAUAUCAACCCUUCUUCUCUAAAUUAGUUGUUUGCUUAUUUACAAUUUCUGAAUUUUUCUCAAACAUGACAAUGAUUCUGAUGCAGUGGUUCUCAAUCAGGGGUAGUUUUGUACUCCAAGGGACAUUUUGGCAAUGUCUGGAGACAUUUUUGGUUGUCAGAACUAAGAGGACUGUGCUCUGGGCAUUUAGUGGUUAGAGGACAAGAGUGCUGCUAAACAUCCUAUAACGGACAGGGUGUCACCCACAACAAAGAAGUAUCCAACUCCAAAUGUCAAUAAUGCUGCAGCCGAAAAACCCUGGUCUAAGGAAUCAUCAUCCUGGUGUAUUUUUUUUUUCCAGUAGUUCGGAAGAAUGUGAAGAAUUCUCCCAGAAUUUUUCAAGAUAUUCCAAGUACCUAUUUAUUUUAUAAUCCUUGAAGACUUACUAAGUACCCAUAAACUGGUUGAGGAAAGCCAGUUUCAAAAUAAAUAUGAAAUCAUAUUUAUUUUUCUCUGAUUAAUCAAGGUCAUCAUGUUUUUAGAUGCCCUGCAAAGAAAACUGGUCAAAAUGUAAGACUGGCCCUCACAUUAAAUCAUCCAAACUAGUAACACUCCUCUAAAGGACUUCCCUCUUGGAACAUUCUUGACUUUCACAUAAUCAGUAGGCAACCUCCUUAGUCAAGGAGUCCUCUCUAACUGGCAAACCUAUCAUUUGGAAGAAUGAUCUUUUCUUCCUCCUUGCUGACUUUAGUUUCAGACAGCUAAUUACAAGUCCUUGUUCCUCCGUGACCUAGACCUGUGACUUAAGGCAAAUUACAAUACCUUUUUUUCAUGCCUAAUUUUAUUUAAAGAUUUGAAAACUGUAUUGCAAUAUAACUGAAAUAAACUAAAUUGCACAAAGUA